CCUACGGGAGGCAGCAGUGGGGAAUAUUGGGCAAUGGGCGCAAGCCUGACCCAGCAACGCCGCGUGAAGGAAGAAGGCUUUCGGGUUGUAAACUUCUUUUCUCAGGGACGAAGCAAGUGACGGUACCUGAGGAAUAAGCCACGGCUAACUACGUGCCAGCAGCCGCGGUAAUACGUAGGUGGCAAGCGUUAUCCGGAUUUACUGGGUGUAAAGGGCGGUUAGGGGGGACAGCAAGUCAGAUGUGAAAACCAUGGGCUCAACCUGUGGCCUGCAUUUGAAACUGUUUUUCUUGAGUACUGGAGAGGCAGACGGAAGUCCUAGUGUAGCGGUGAAAUGCGUAGAUAUUAGGAGGAACACCAGUGGCGAAGGCGGUCUGCUGGACAGCAACUGACGCUGAGGCGCGAAAGCGUGGGGAGCAAACAGGAUUAGAUACCCCGGUAGUC
RNAcentral lists this ribosomal RNA (443 nucleotides) under uncultured bacterium. Its description in RNAcentral is "partial 16S ribosomal RNA". It matches the Rfam family "Bacterial small subunit ribosomal RNA", at positions 338 to 795 of the family's 1533-position model. The record is from RNAcentral.